RNAcentral lists this ribosomal RNA (308 nucleotides) under uncultured bacterium. RNAcentral's name for it is "partial 16S ribosomal RNA". It matches the Rfam family "Bacterial small subunit ribosomal RNA", at positions 505 to 808 of the family's 1533-position model. The record is from RNAcentral.
GAGACAGCAGCAGCCGCGGUAAUACGUAGGUGGCAAGCGUUGUCCGGAAUUAUUGGGCGUAAAGCGAGCGCAGGCGGUUAGAUAAGUCUGAAGUUAAAGGCUGUGGCUUAACCAUAGUACGCUUUGGAAACUGUUUAACUUGAGUGCAAGAGGGGAGAGUGGAAUUCCAUGUGUAGCGGUGAAAUGCGUAGAUAUAUGGAGGAACACCGGUGGCGAAAGCGGCUCUCUGGCUUGUAACUGACGCUGAGGCUCGAAAGCGUGGGGCGCAAACAGGAUUAGAUACCCCAGUAGUCCCUGUCUCUUAUACC